CAGAACCCUGCCCGCCAGGCCCGUCACCCGUCUCUUAGCGAGCGCUGCCCGAGCAGGUUAGAAUGAGGGACCAACCCGUUUUCAGUUUCAUUUUCUAAGUCUUAUGAUGCGUAGGAAGGCAAAGGUUGGACUGGGUGGAUUCACUCUCUGUACAUCUUCGCCCUCCGAUCUGGGCGGUGCACCCAAGCCUGGAGCGUGGGCCUUCUGCCCUAGCAAAGCAGUUUGCACCAACGUUCGCUUUUCAGAUCAGCGCUAGAAAUGCCGGGGGACUUUCAUACCAAGCCCCAGGCAUUUAUGAACCCAGAAACUGUAGUUUUUAAUCACGAAAACAGAAAACCAAAGCAGUUAAGGCUAAGGACAGAAUGGAACCGGGCAGAAUCAGAACAUGGGUUCACAAUUACAGCCUAGAAAUAAGCUCUGGGGCUUUUGUACUCGUUGGACAAGAAGAAGAGUCCAGGCACCUCGAGGCCUCCUGAGGCCAGCUCAGAGAGCCAGCAGAAGUGAAGAAGGACCUUCUGGCUUCCUGAAUCCCUCCAGGAAAGUUUCUUUUUGGAAAGCCCUGUGCCAACAAAGUCUUGCUUGUAUCUUGCCUCUGUUGUUUAGUUCGAGAGUGUCUCGGCGGCAUACCUAGAUCACCGAAAGUAAACCAGGAGAGAACAAAACACGCGACAGGCGGGAACCCGGACCGUCUGUAGACGAGAUGGCAGCCAGGCCAUUGAGUCUUUCCAGCACCAUUUGUAUGAAAAUUUACCUUUAUUAAAUAUCAACAUAGAAAAUUUGAGUAGUAGAAGAAAAAAGAAAACUUGUCACUUAUAAAUCUGCUGUCCAAAGUGAUCUUGUUUACUAUUAGGAUCAUUUCCUUAUAGUUAUUUUUUAAUAUCUAUGUUCAUAAUCAGGUGUUAUCUCAUUAAUCUUAACAGUUUUAUAGGUAAAUACUGCUAUUAUUUCCAUUUUGCAGAGGAAGGAAUACAGAGAGGGUAGGAAUUCUAAUUCAGAUAUACUUGGACAGUAAGCAGUAGUGCCAGGAUUUUGAACCCAGGCAACAUAACUGCAAAGCCUCUGCACUUAGACAAUAUGCAUGCAUGUGUGAGUCAAAUUAGGGUUGUGUGGCAUAACAGUAUUGUUCUGGCCUUCCUCUCCCUAUUUACAAAUGAAUGAAUAUAUAUGAUUUAAGUGACAACAACAAUAAUAAAAUACAUAGUCUUUCUUUUUUUUCUUUUUUA
This 1223-nucleotide long non-coding RNA is filed under the name Sus scrofa (pig). Its description in RNAcentral is "lncRNA (ENSSSCG00065052652.1)". Lineage: Eukaryota; Metazoa; Chordata; Mammalia; Artiodactyla; Suidae. The record is from RNAcentral.